ACCCAGCUGACGAGUCCCAAAUAGGACGAAACGCGCGUCCUCGAU
RNAcentral lists this non-coding RNA (45 nucleotides) under Schistosoma mansoni. Lineage: Eukaryota; Metazoa; Platyhelminthes; Trematoda; Strigeidida; Schistosomatidae. The record is from RNAcentral.